GACGAACGCUGGCGGCGUGCUUAACACAUGCAAGUCGAACGAUGAAGCUAGAGCUUGCUCUGGUGAAUUAGUGGCGAACGGGUGAGUAACACGUGCGUAACCUGCCCCGAACUCUGGGAUAACUGCUGGAAACGGUAGCUAAUACUGGAUACGACCUACGAAGGCAUCUUCUGUAGGUGGAAAGAAUUUCGGUUCGGGAUGGACUCGCGGCCUAUCAGCUUGUUGGUGUGGUAAGGGCUCACCAAGGCGACGACGGGUAGCCGGCCUGAGAGGGUGACCGGCCACACUUGGACUGAGAAACGGCCCAGACUCCUACGGGGGGCAGCAGUGGGGAAUAUUGCACAGUGGGCGCAAGCCUGAUGCAGCAACGCCGCGUGAGGGAUGACGGCCUUCGGGUUGUAAACCUCUUUUAGUAGGGAAGAAGCGAAAGUGACGGUACCUGCAGAAAAAGCACCGGCUAACUACGUGCCAGCCGCCGCCGUAA
This 484-nucleotide ribosomal RNA is filed under the name uncultured bacterium. RNAcentral describes it as "partial 16S ribosomal RNA". It matches the Rfam family "Bacterial small subunit ribosomal RNA", at positions 28 to 523 of the family's 1533-position model. The record is from RNAcentral.